This 771-nucleotide unclassified non-coding RNA is filed under the name uncultured Saprolegnia. RNAcentral's name for it is "partial contains 5.8S rRNA, ITS2, and 28S rRNA". The stretch from base 440 to 771 matches the Rfam family "Eukaryotic large subunit ribosomal RNA", at positions 1 to 329 of the family's 3401-position model. The record is from RNAcentral. Lineage: Eukaryota; Oomycota; Saprolegniomycetes; Saprolegniales.
UGCGAUACGUAAUGCGAAUUGCAGAAUUCAGUGAGUCAUCAAAAUUUUGAACGCAUAUUGCACUUCCGGGUUAGUCCUGGGAGUAUGUUUGUAUCAGUGUCCGUGAACACAAACUUGUUUCAUUUCUUGAUUGGGAUGGAGCAGACUGUGAAGGUCUUGUAAUUACAAGUCCUUUUAAACGACGGUACCUAUGCGUCCUAGUGAGAUGUAUUAUUUAAAGGUAUGCCUGCGCUCCUUUCGAAAGUCUUAUGUGGCGGCACACAGCACUCAAAGAGAGAGCAAAUCGCGGUAGUUUUGCUUGUACUUCGGUACGAGUGGACACAUAUUGCUUUUUGUGAUUUCUGCGAGUCUGUUGUCAAAGUACAAGGCACGUAAGGAGAGUUGGUAUGCUGGUGCAUUUCUUGGCGUAUGGAGGCAAAUUGGGAAUUCAAUCCAAUUUGGACCUGAUAUCAAACAAGACUACCCGCUGAACUUAAGCAUAUCAUUAAGCGGAGGAAAAGAAACUAACAAGGAUUCCCCCAGUAACGGCGAGUGAAGCGGGAAGAGCUCAAGCUUAAAAUCUCCAUACUUGUAUGGCGAAUUGUAGUCUAUUGAGGCUGUUGUCAGCAUCGCGAUUGGGGACAAGUCCCUUGGAAAAGGGCAGCAUGGAGGGUGAUACUCCCGUCUCUGCUCCAAUCUGCGGUGUGUACGAUACGCUUUCUUUGAGUCGAGUUGUUUGGGAAUACAGCUCAAAGUAGGUGGUAAAUUCCAUCUAAAGCUAAAUAUUGGUGC